Molecule: ribosomal RNA, 468 nt
Filed under: uncultured bacterium
Lineage: Bacteria
Description: partial 16S ribosomal RNA
Rfam family: Bacterial small subunit ribosomal RNA
Source: RNAcentral
GACGAACGCUGGCGGCGUGCUUAACACAUGCAAGUCGAACGGAAAGGCCCUGCUUUUGUGGGGUGCUCGAGUGGCGAACGGGUGAGUAACACGUGAGUAACCUGCCCCUGACUUUGGGAUAACUUCAGGAAACUGGGGCUAAUACCGGAUAGGAGAUCCUGCUGCAUGGUGGGGGAUGGAAAGUUUCGGCGGUUGGGGAUGGACUCGCGGCUUAUCAGCUUGUUGGUGGGGUAGUGGCUGACCAAGGCUUUGACGGGUAGCCGGCCUGAGAGGGUGACCGGCGACAUUGGGACUGAGAGACGGCCCAGACUCCUACGGGAGGCAGCAGUGGGGAAUAUUGCACAAUGGGCGGAAGCCUGAUGCAGCAACGCCGCGUGCGGGAUGACGGCCUUCGGGUUGUAAACCGCUUUCGCCUGUGACGAAGCGUGAGUGACGGUAAUGGGUAAAGAAGCACCGGCUAACUACGUG